AGCAGUCGCCACGGUAAUACGUAGGUCCCGAGCGUUGUCCGGAUUUAUUGGGCGUAAAGCGAGCGCAGGCGGUUAGAUAAGUCUGAAGUUAAAGGCUGUGGCUUAACCAUAGUACGCUUUGGAAACUGUUUAACUUGAGUGCAAGAGGGGAGAGUGGAAUUCCAUGUGUAGCGGUGAAAUGCGUAGAUAUAUGGAGGAACACCGGUGGCGAAAGCGGCUCUCUGGGCAGUAACUGACGCUGAGGAGCGAAAGCGUGGGGAGCAAACAGGAUUAGAGACCCCUGUAGUCCCUGUCUCUUAUACC
Molecule: ribosomal RNA, 303 nt
Filed under: uncultured bacterium
Lineage: Bacteria
Description: partial 16S ribosomal RNA
Rfam family: Bacterial small subunit ribosomal RNA
Source: RNAcentral